This 231-nucleotide unclassified non-coding RNA is filed under the name plant metagenome. RNAcentral describes it as "partial contains small subunit ribosomal RNA and internal transcribed spacer 1". The stretch from base 1 to 54 matches the Rfam family "Eukaryotic small subunit ribosomal RNA", at positions 1778 to 1831 of the family's 1831-position model. The record is from RNAcentral.
GGAAGUAAAAGUCGUAACGAGAUCUCCGUUGGUGAACCAGCGGAGGGAUCAUUACUGGAAUCGCAAGAUCCCACAACCCUGUGAACCUACCGAAACGUUGCCUCGGCGGGCGCCUGGCCUUGCGCCGGGCGCGAAGCCCGCCGGUGGCCCCCUACUCUGUCUCUGCAGCGUGGAAUCUCCGAGUAUAUACAAAACAAGUCAAAACCUUUAACAACGGAUCUCUUGGCUCUA